CCACCCAUAGCUCAGCUGGUAGAGCAGCUCCCUCUUAAGGAGACGGUCGUAGGUCCGAUUCCUACUGGGUGGACCA
Molecule: transfer RNA, 76 nt
Filed under: Candidatus Campbelliibacteriota bacterium
Lineage: Bacteria; Candidatus Campbelliibacteriota
Description: Candidatus Campbellbacteria bacterium tRNA-Lys
Rfam family: tRNA
About the family: Transfer RNA (tRNA) molecules are approximately 80 nucleotides in length. Their secondary structure includes four short double-helical elements and three loops (D, anti-codon, and T loops).
Source: RNAcentral